This 440-nucleotide ribosomal RNA is filed under the name uncultured bacterium. Its description in RNAcentral is "partial 16S ribosomal RNA". It matches the Rfam family "Bacterial small subunit ribosomal RNA", at positions 338 to 795 of the family's 1533-position model. The record is from RNAcentral.
CCUACGGGAGGCUGCAGUGGGGAAUAUUGGACAAUGGGGGGAACGCUGAUCCAGCGACGCCGCGUGAGUGAAGAAGUAUUUCGGUAUGUAAAGCUCUAUCAGCAGGGAAGAAAAUGACGGUACCUGACUAAGCAGCCCCGGCUAACUACGUGCCAGCAGCCGCGGUAAUACGUAGGGGGCAAGCGUUAUCCGGAUUUACUGGGUGUAAAGGGAGCGUAGACGGUGCAGCAAGUCUGAUGUGAAAGGUGGGGGCCCAAACCCGGGACCGCAUUGGAAACUGUGGAACUGGAGUACAGGAGAGGUACGCGGAAUGCGUAGUGUAGCGGUGAAAUGCGUAGAUAUCAGGAGGAACACCAGUGGCGAAGGCAGCGUACUGGCGUGUAACUGACGUUGAGGCACGAAAGCGUGGGGAGCGAACAGGAUUAGAUACCCGGGUAGUC